GCGACGACGACGGGGAAGUCGAUGACGACCACCUUGUCGAGCGCGGCCAUGAAGGUGGCGGCGAACGCGGCGUGCCUGUCGUGGCCCAUGUAGGUGGCCAGGUCGUCGGCGAAGGCGAAGGUCAGCGAGAAGACGUGGGUGAAGCCCUGCGUCAGCAUCUCCUGGUUCAGCACGUCCUGACCCCUACAAUGCAAACCAGUCCAUUGAUUUGUUCAUGGAGAUGCAUGGAGAGCAGGGUGAUGACUGAUGAACAGAACAAAUUGCAAUCUCCCAUCUCCCUUCUAGUAUUAGCAAAGCGAGAUGCUAGCUCGUGAUACUGGCCGGCUGGCCGGCCGGGCAUCCAUGUCAAUCAUUCAGCAGAGCAUGAUAGCGAGUCUCUGAACUCUGAAGAAGUUGGAUGCAACACCUGUUUGCUAACUGAAUGACUGAACAAAAGCCAUUCAGAGCUGUACCAUGUGUUACUGUUACUAAUUCACCAUGCAGUGUAAAGUGUAAACUUUAACACAGAAAAAAUAAAGCUGAAUACAUUCAGCUUGCUUGCUUGACAGAAGAGGAAGGGUGAGAAGAAGGGAGUGAGAAGGCAGAAAGGUAACAACAGCUCAUGAAUGAAUGAAUGAACAAAAGCCAUUCAGAGCUGUACCAUGUGUUACUGUUACUAAUUCACCAUGCAGUGUAGUAAAGUGUAAACUUUAACAGAAAAAAGAAAGCUGAAUACAUUCAGCUUGAUUGCUUGACAGAAGGGGAAGGGUAAGAAGAAGGGAGUGGGAAGGCAGAAAGGUAACAACAGCUCAUGAAUGAAUGAAUGAAUGACUGACUGAAUGUAGUACCACUCGAAAGAUUUCACCAUGUCCAUCCCGGCCACGAGGUCAGUCAUGCCUUUGAGGACAUCCUCCACCACGACGCCCUCCUUGAACUUCACCAGGCACAGGUGCUUCACCUCCCCCAUGGUUGGCCGGCGCCGAAAGCCCCCUCUGACCCUCAAAGCAAGC
Molecule: long non-coding RNA, 989 nt
Filed under: Sorghum bicolor (sorghum)
Lineage: Eukaryota; Viridiplantae; Streptophyta; Magnoliopsida; Poales; Poaceae
Description: long non-coding RNA (SBIC_LNC013502)
Source: RNAcentral